ACCCGAAUGGGGAAACCCAGUGUGACUCGUCACACUAUCAUUAACUGAAUCCAUAGGUUAAUGAGGCGAACCGGGGGAACUGAAACAUCUAAGUACCCCGAGGAAAAGAAAUCAACCGAGAUUCCCCCAGUAGCGGCGAGCGAACGGGGAGGAGCCCAGAGCCUGAAUCAGCAUGUGUGUUAGUGGAAGCGUCUGGAAAGGCGCGCGAUACAGGGUGACAGCCCCGUACACAAAAGCGCAUGUGCUGUGAGCUCGAUGAGUAGGGCGGGACACGUGGUAUCCUGUCUGAAUAUGGGGGGACCAUCCUCCAAGGCUAAAUACUCCUGACUGACCGAUAGUGAACCAGUACCGUGAGGGAAAGGCGAAAAGAACCCCGGCGAGGGGAGUGAAAAAGAACCUGAAACCGUGUACGUACAAGCAGUGGGAGCACCCUUUGGGUGUGACUGCGUACCUUUUGUAUAAUGGGUCAGCGACUUAUAUUCUGUAGCAAGGUUAACCGAAUAGGGGAGCCGGAGGGAAACCGAGUCUUAACCGGGCGUUAAGUUGCAGGGUAUAGACCCGAAACCCGGUGAUCUAGCCAUGGGCAGGUUGAAGGUUGGGUAACACUAACUGGAGGACCGAACCGACUAAUGUUGAAAAAUUAGCGGAUGACCUGUGGCUGGGGGUGAAAGGCCAAUCAAACCGGGAGAUAGCUGGUUCUCCCCGAAAGCUAUUUAGGUAGCGCCUCGUGAAUUCAUCUCCGGGGGUAGAGCACUGUUUCGGCUAGGGGGCCAUCCCGGCUUACCAACCCGAUGCAAACUGCGAAUACCGGAGAAUGUUAUCACGGGAGACACACGGCGGGUGCUAACGUCCGUCGUGAAGAGGGAAACAACCCAGACCGCCAGCUAAGGUCCCAAAGUCAUGGUUAAGUGGGAAACGAUGUGGGAAGGCCCAGACAGCCAGGAUGUUGGCUUAGAAGCAGCCAUCAUUUAAAGAAAGCGUAAUAGCUCACUGGUCGAGUCGGCCUGCGCGGAAGAUGUAACGGGGCUAAACCAUGCACCGAAGCUGCGGCAGCGACACUGUGUGUUGUUGGGUAGGGGAGCGUUCUGUA
RNAcentral lists this ribosomal RNA (1090 nucleotides) under Salmonella enterica subsp. enterica serovar Enteritidis. RNAcentral describes it as "partial 23S ribosomal RNA". It matches the Rfam family "Bacterial large subunit ribosomal RNA", at positions 112 to 1245 of the family's 2925-position model. Lineage: Bacteria; Pseudomonadati; Pseudomonadota; Gammaproteobacteria; Enterobacterales; Enterobacteriaceae. The record is from RNAcentral.